RNAcentral lists this ribosomal RNA (791 nucleotides) under uncultured crenarchaeote. Its description in RNAcentral is "bacterial SSU rRNA". It matches the Rfam family "Archaeal small subunit ribosomal RNA", at positions 85 to 877 of the family's 1478-position model. The record is from RNAcentral. Lineage: Archaea; Thermoproteati; Thermoproteota.
ACGGCUCAGUAACACGUAGUUAAUCUAACCUAUGGACGGGGAUAACCUCGGGAAACUGAGAAUAAUCCCCGAUAGAUCACAGUGCCUGGAAUGGCCUGUGGUUCAAAUGAUUUAUCGCCGUAGGAUGGGACUGCGGCCUAUCAGCUAGUUGGUGAGGUAAUGGCCCACCAAGGCUAUAACAGGUACGGGCUCUGAGAGGAGGGGCCCGGAGAUGGGUACUGAGACACGGACCCAGGCCCUAUGGGGCGCAGCAGGCGAGAAACCUUUGCAAUGUGCGAAAGCACGACAAGGUUAAUCCGAGUGUCUCCUGCUAAAGGAGUCUUUUGCCGGUCAUAGAACCACCGGUGAAUAAGGGGUGGGCAAGUUCUGGUGUCAGCCGCCGCGGUAAAACCAGCACCUCGAGUGGUCAGGAGGUUUAUUGGGCCUAAAGCAUCCGUAGCCGGCUGCUCAAGUUUUCGGUUAAAUCUAUGCGCUUAACGUAUAGGCCGCCGAAAAUACUGGGCAGCUAGGGAGUGGGAGAGGUACACGGUACUCAAUAGGAAGGGGUAAAAUCCUUUGAUCUAUUGAUGACCACCUGUGGCGAAGGCGGUGUACCAGAACACGUUCGACGGUGAGGGAUGAAAGCUGGGGGAGCAAACCGGAUUAGAUACCCGGGUAGUCCCAGCUGUAAACGAUGCAGACUCGGUGAUGCCUUGGCUUGUGGCCAAUGCAGUGCCGCAGGGAAGCCGUUAAGUCUGCCGCCUGGGAAGUACGUACGCAAGUAUGAAACUUAAAGGAAUUGGCGGGGGAGA